GCAGUCGACGGCAGCACGGACUUCGGUCUGGUGGCGAGUGGCGAACGGGUGAGUAAUAUAUCGGAACGUGCCCAGUCGUGGGGGAUAACGUAGUGAAAAUUACGCUAAUACCGCAUACGAUCUAAGGAUGAAAGCGGGGGAUCGCAAGACCUCGCGCGAUUGGAGCGGCCGAUAUCAGAUUAGGUAGUUGGUGAGGUAAAGGCUCACCAAGCCAACGAUCUGUAGCUGGUCUGAGAGGACGACCAGCCACACUGGAACUGAGACACGGUCCAGACUCCUACGGGAGGCAGCAGUGGGGAAUUUUGGACAAUGGACGCAAGUCUGAUCCAGCCAUUCCGCGUGCAGGACGAAGGCCUUCGGGUUGUAAACUGCUUUUGUACAGAACGAAAAGGUCUCUAUUAAUACUAGGGGCUCAUGACGGUACUGUAAGAAUAAGCACCGGCUAACUACGUGCCAGCAGCCGCGGUAAUACGUAGGGUGCAAGCGUUAAUCGGAAUUACUGGGCGUAAAGCGUGCGCAGGCGGUUAUAUAAGACAGAUGUGAAAUCCCCGGGCUCAACCUGGGAACUGCAUUUGUGACUGUAUAGCUGGAGUGCGGCAGAGGGGGGUGGAAUUCCGCGUGUAGCAGUGAAAUGCGUAGAUAUGCGGAGGAACACCGAUGGCGAAGGCAAUCCCCUGGGCCUGCACUGACGCUCAUGCACGAAAGCGUGGGGAGCAACAGGAUAGAUACCUGGUAGUCACGCCCUAACGAUGUCACUGGUUUGUGGUC
This 768-nucleotide ribosomal RNA is filed under the name uncultured bacterium. Its description in RNAcentral is "bacterial SSU rRNA". It matches the Rfam family "Bacterial small subunit ribosomal RNA", at positions 57 to 828 of the family's 1533-position model. The record is from RNAcentral.